UUUGUUCUACCACUUUUCCCAUGCUGAGAACUGGAAGAGAAAACACACUGCAGGACAAGAAUUAAUGGUGUCAAACAAAUGCCAUCAAACACAAUUGAAGAAUUGAUUUCUCUGUCGGAAAUGGAUGAAGGAGACAAAAGAGGAGGUUCUCCCUACACAGAUUCUUCUGUCUCAGCCUUCAAAGUACCCGGGACUACAGGAAUGUAACACCACAUCCAGCUGAGCAUCUUUUUAUGCUUACUUGCCAUCUGUACUUACUCUUUGGUAUCUUCUUGUCACCAGUCUAUAACUGAAUUUAUAAGAGCAAACAUCCCAAUCCAGUGACCUCUAUGUUUAGUAGGCACAUCAUUGUUUACAUUUAUUUCAAACAAAUAGUAUUUGAUUUAUUUCUACCAUC
Long non-coding RNA from Sciurus carolinensis (gray squirrel), 397 nucleotides. RefSeq lists it as uncharacterized. The record is from RefSeq and is a predicted model, not a curated record. Lineage: Eukaryota; Metazoa; Chordata; Mammalia; Rodentia; Sciuridae. The transcript has 3 exons.